GAGAACAAUCCAAUACAUUUAGAUAAGGUAUAAAGAUAUUACGGCGUUGUUUAAAGAAAUAUUAGAGCACACACUGUUUUAUAUUGACGAAUACUUUAAGUGCGCAAUACACGUUUAUAAAUAUAGCCAGAAUAACUAAAACGACGAGAUACAACGAUCAUAGCCAGUGCGCAUGCUCGGUUAUCUGUUGCUGCUCUGUUGUUGUAGUAACCAGGAAGGUUUAUCAGAAUGAUAAAUAAGCCCCGACGAUAUCACAUUAGCUAGCUACCAACAGACUCAUUAGAAAGUCUAAUUCAAGUUUUCUGUGCUGACGGGGUUUCCUUCCCAAAAAGUAUCCGCUUUAAGGGGUUUAUACGUAAGCUGGCUUUUGGUUGCACGGUCUUCUUCUAAAGUAGCAUAUGGAAAACGUCUUUAAGCUGACUCCCGCUAGAUUGUUGUUAGUCCGUUGCAAUGUCCGCAGUGUUUUACCUUUGUGACUUACAUCACAGCUUUAAUUUAUCUGUUUACAAAUGCGUAGAAAAUCACAGUGAUAAAGUUUAUGUAUUUGGUCAUUUCAACAGUAAGUGAAUGAACCGCUCGGUGACUUCUUUAAGCUGAUCUGUCACUAUUAGCUGUUAGAACAACAAAAGACAAGACAGCCGCUCACAUUUCACCUAAAAAAUGCCAGCGGUUGUCAAAGAGAAAGGAGACUCUGAAUCCUCCUCAGAAGACGAGAAAGAAGACCAUCAGUGCAUCUCAUGGAGCGGGUUGAGCAAGACAAUCCCAGUUCUCCUGUUUUUACCCGAGGCUGCUGUCUCAAAAGACCGGAGCAUCUGCUCCGUGGGAGAGCGAUACAAUAUGGCCUUCAAGAUUGUGCGCACAGAAAGCCGCCUGGUGCGAGGAAUACUCACCAACCAUGGAUUCCAUGAGGUUCACCCGAACAGUAAUGACUUCAACCUGAUGUGGACGGGAUCUCACCUGAAGCCUUACAUACUGCGCAGCCUUCAAGACUUCCAGAAGGUCAAUCACUUUCCCAGGUCGUACGAGUUAACCCGCAAAGACCGGCUGUAUAAAAACAUCCAGCGAAUGCAACAGACUCACGGAUUCAAACAUUUUCAUAUCAUCCCUCAGACAUUCGUGCUUCCCUCAGAGUACCAGGAAUUCCGCAGCUGUUUUGCCAAAGACAAGGGACCAUGGAUAAUUAAACCAGUAGCAUCAUCAAGAGGACGGGGCAUCUAUUUAGUCAGCAAUCCAAAUCAGAUCUCAAUGGAUGACAACAUCCUGGUCUCCCGCUAUAUUAACAACCCACUAUUGAUAGAUGACUUCAAGUUUGACAUGCGUUUGUAUGUGUUGGUAACCUCAUACGAUCCUCUUCUCAUCUAUGUGUAUGAGGAGGGACUGGCUCGAUUUGCCACGGUGAAGUACGAUCAGACUUCAACUAACAUCAAGAACACUUUUAUGCAUCUCACCAACUACAGUCUGAACAAAAAGAGCAGUGAUUAUGUCAGCUGCGAUGACCCAGAAGUAGAGGAUUAUGGGAACAAAUGGAGUAUGAGUGCAGUGUUGAGGUAUUUGAAGCAGGAGGGAAAGGACACCACAUUACUGAUGAGUCAAAUCGAGGACCUUAUCAUCAAAGCUGUCCUUAGUGCCGAGCACCAGAUAUCCACCGCAUGCAAGACGUUUGUUCCCCACAAAACCAACUGCUUUGAAUUGUAUGGAUUUGAUGUGCUCAUUGACUCCAACCUCAAACCCUGGUUGUUAGAGGUCAACCUCUCCCCUUCACUAUCAUGUGAUGCUCCCUUGGAUCUAAAGAUAAAGGCCAGCAUGAUUGCAGACAUGUUUUCACUUGUGGGCUUUGUGUGUCAAGAUCCGCUGCCAAAACAGGCUCGCUCUGACAGGGUCAUGUCAGAAAAGCCCCCUGCAGCCCAAAGAGCACAGCGGCAGAAACAAACAUCCACCACAAACCCAGAAACAGACACGCAGGGUCCAAAACACAGCAGAGGCGACAGCACACUCAGCCUGACUUCAGAGGAGAUCAAAGUGCUGAGGAGGAUAAAGGAGGAACAUGAGAGACGAGGAGGUUUCAUAAGGAUUUUCCCCACUGUGGAAACGUGGGAGCUCUACAGUGUAUACUUGGAGUCCAAACCAUCAAUGAACUUCAUGCUGGCGAACAGACUUUUCCAUGGAAGGAAUGUUAACGAGAAUGUGCAGCUGCAGGUGGACACGGUCCAUGACUGUCAUGUUGUCCAGUAUGAGAGGAAGCUGCUGUCUCUGGAGGCACGGAAAAAGAGACAGCGCCACCUGACUUACAGCUCUGCUGGAAGGAAGAAAACAUGGGAAAAUAAAUCCAAGGCCUCCCUGACUGAGAACAGCAGUCCAGGGGUUGAGGAGUGUGCUCCACAGGAAAGAGAGGAGGUUAAAGAGCCUUUUGAGCCAAUUUCACACAAGCAAAGAAAACAAGUGGCCUCACCAUUGGAGCCCUGCCACAGCAUACCUCUGUCCAGCUCAGACGCAGCCAUUCACAAUGCCAGGCCCAAAAUCAACCUGCUCCACAUCCUUGAGCAGAGCUGGGAUCUCAGUAAAGUACAGGCCCGGAUUGCUUUUUCGGCAUAUCUGCAGCGCGUCCAGCAAAGGCUAUUAACAGAGAGCAGAGCCAGCUCCAUCCCAGUUUGGCCAGACAGGGACAAUGACCAAAUGGAGCUGGUGAUUCGCUUCCUUAAAAGAGCAGCUCGAAACCUUCAGCAGGACAUCAAAGUAGUCUCCCCCGAUCCACAGUUACCACUUCGGGACUGCAAGCGCCUCCUGUCUCACCAGUUAGGGGAAUUUAUCCUCUGUUACAACAAGGAAACUGAACAUAUGGUGAGAAAGCAGGGGAACAGUGAGGAAAAAGGCUGUGUUAACUACUCCAUAUUUGAAGAGUACAUCACGACUGCAAGUGAAAGCAGUCUGGAGGAAGUCCUGACAUUCUACACGCAGAAAAAUAAAGCAGCCUCUGUCUUUCUAGGAACCAAAGACAAAAGUGUUAAGAAGGACACUCAUGGUAUAAAUUUCCCUGGAGAUUCAAACAACUGUGAGAAUUUUGGAUCUCUGCCUACAGCCAAAGAGGAUUCCAAUGCUUCACAGUCCUCGCUCUGCGCGGGGAAACUCAACUGUGACCCAAACAUCAAGGCCGGCGAGAAACAGUCAUCUGUUUCUGGGAUUUCUGCAGACCAACAGCUCGAGGCCACAAGAGAAAAAACUCAGCCAGCAGUCCAGUCAUCUCAUCACAGCUCAGAUUUCCCAUUGAACUUGGACUCCGAUCACAUUUGCUUCCAGAACUAUUCAUCUGCCACAGCGUCAGCUCCUCUGUAUUGUCCUCCACCGCCUGCACCUCGUCAGCCUCCAUCUUACAUGCAGAGCUUGGCAAAGUCCCAGCUCUGUCAGUCAGAAGCAUUUCCCGCACCUCCAGGAUACCCCUCCCCAACUGUUAUCCCGCAGCCACCAAGAGUGGCGUGGGCCUACCCAUCCACCGACUCUACUGCGGCCAAGGUGGCGACUCCAGCGCUCCGAAGGAUACAUUCAUUUACAAUGUCCGCCUCUCGCUUUGGAGCAGCCGCCUCGAUCCCAGGCGCCACACACAUUUACAACCAGAAGCUCUCCAGACCCACAUCUGCUGGCCAAGCGGUCACUGGGAGCAUUUCCAACAACCUGAAGUCAAAUUCAGUGACAACUUUUAGGGAGUUGCACUCUCUGUCUGCCCAAGCCCAGGCGAACCAGCAGUCCUUCAUCUCAGCUCUGCAGAAGCUGGCCGAGAAGCAGGUCGCACGCCGCUGUGCCAGCUCCAGCCACAUCAACCUCUUGACACAACAUUUGACCAGACUAAACCUGUCUAAUGGGAUGCUGAACUCUGCAACUUCUGUCCGACCCAUGAAAGAUAUUACCUCUGGAAAGAACCUGCAGGGCAGCACAAGGGGUUAUUGGGAUUUUGGGUUCUUAGAACCAGUAAGAACUCCCUAUUUGAAAUGCCAGGGCUCACUCAGUCCACACUGCUUUAGACCACCAAAGGAAGAUGUUUGGGGCGAGCAGGUCCAGACUGUGUCCGACAUGGAUCUUAAGCAGCACCACCAUCCGGCCAAGACCGGCUACCCGCAUCAGUUUGCAGUUCCCCAGCUACAACAGCAAAGCCUGACGUCCCAACAGUUUCCAGACCAAGACCGCUUUAGACAUCAGGUUCCCACAAAAUCAUCCAGCUACUCUCCGCCCACCUUUCAUAGUCAGCCCAAUCCGAGCCAUGGCCGCAACCACCACCACACCUGUGUCAGUCCGACGAUUGCUCCAAAGCCACCCAGUGUCGCCCGAGAGGGUCAGACAAGGAAAACUGUGUCCAAGCGCCUGAUUAAAACAAGCUGAAUGUCCUUCGGGGUCACAGGGUUGCUGGAGCCUACCCAUCUACCUUUGGGUGAAAGCUGGCUACACACUGAACAGGUCGCCAUUCUGUUGCUAGGCCACACACACAAAUUCUCACAUUUAGACUAAGGGUCAGUUUUGAGCCACCAAUUCACUUUAGGAGCUCGUCUUUGGAUACCGAGAGUAAACCCACACAUGCACAGGGAGAACAUGCAAACUCCAAACAGAAAGAUCCCAGCUGGGAUUUGAACCACGCAAGACCACUGACCACUAUGAUACCAUCCUGCCCCAUCCGUCUUUCAGCCUUUCCAACCCUUUCAGGGUCACUGGAUUCUGCCCCAGGUACUGUUUUACAUUCAAACUCCUCACAGAAAGGUCCCAGCUGGGUUUUGAACCAGGGCCUUCGAGAGCACUAACCAUUACACCACCACUCUGAAGGCCCAGGAUGAUUUUUUACAAACGGUAGAGCAGGUCGUCCAACAAACGAAGGGUUGGGGGAUCGAUACCCACUCUCCCCAGCCAGCUGUCGGCCCCCGAGCGCGGCCAGCCUGCAGCUCACCGCUCCCCCCAGGGGAUGGGUCAGAAUGCAGAGAAGAAUUUCCCCAUUGUGGGAUAAAUAAAGUAUCAAUUAUUAUUAUUAUUAUAACAAUGUAGAACAUUUGAGAUCAGUCAUCUUUCUUUUGAUCAAACCAUAACACUUUUGAAUCAGUGUUAUUUGAACUCACAAAAACCAUUAAAGCAAUAGAGAAACCACCAUGGAUGGCAAAGACAGCAGAUCAACACAAACCUUUUUAUCGAUUACUAAAAACAGUAGGAGUGUAGAAAUGUGACUUUAUUUGCUUCAGCUAUAUAACCUGACAAAGAACUAAAGGGAAAGCCAAUAAACGUACCAGCAAAUGUCCAAAAACUGUGAAAAGUAAAAAGGAAAGGUUCUAGUGUAACCUAAAAAGUGUCAGUUUUUAACAUUUUCUGGGUCUGUGUUAAAAUGCGAUAUAGUUCUGUAUUUAGUAGUGGCUACACUUUUUGUUAGGUUUUAUUUGUUUAGGAUUUGCAAGAAGUUGCAAAUGUCACAGUUUGUCACAGUUUUUUCGUUUGUCUUUUAAAAACAAAAAGCAAGUACAACAGGUUAAUUAGGUUAAUGUACUUAACCAUAUGUUUUCUGCUUGUAUGUGAGUUUUUGCUGUGUUCUCAGCUCUUGUUUCAACCCUCUGUCCACAGUUCAGCACAGUACAGUCAGUAAUCAGCUCUGCACUCCUGCCGGUGUGAUAAUCACAUCACCAAGGACAAGGAGCAAGAAUUUCUCCCCUUCCUGCUACAACGGCUCUCUAGAGGCUCUCAGUAAACACUUAGCCUCACUGACCGCACAGAAAGAGUAACUAUUUGAAACGAUUUCCCUUUUGUCCUGUCAGAAAACAGCUCAUUAGGAUUCCGUGCACACACUCCAGCUGAGACAGUCACAUGCACAUGACAGUCACAUGGAAUUCAUAGCAUUUUGCUUGGAUAUUUAGCUGAAAAUAGAAUCCAGAGAGGAUGCAGAUGGUCUUAAACAUGCAGGAUUUGCUGCUGGAGUUGCUCAUUUCUCAGCCCUCGAUGGCACUCAUCCUGUGUCUCAUUAACAGGCAGACUUCCUCGGAGAGUUUAGCCGCGGGAUCUGUGUCAAGUGGCCAGCAGGUGAUCUACGAGGCCAUCUGCGGUAAAACAGGUCUCUACCGGAAGCUCCUCCAGGACAAGGAGUCUUCUCAC
Molecule: non-coding RNA, 6108 nt
Organism: Oryzias latipes (Japanese medaka)
Lineage: Eukaryota; Metazoa; Chordata; Actinopteri; Beloniformes; Adrianichthyidae
Source: RefSeq, a predicted model, not a curated record